AAGCAACUCGGAGAAAUUUCUCUCUCUCUCUGUUUUACGCGUUGACAAAAAUUAGAAAAUCGGUCAGCGGUUGUUCUCUAUGCGAGUCAAAGAUGGCUGUUGUGGAAAAAAACAGAACUUCGAAAAGAACGGAGUUUUGGGGGGCAUGUUAUUCCCUCAUGAAUACAAAGAUUCUCACCGCAUUUCCGACAAGAAUACGGAAACGGAAGAAGCUAGGCAUGCAUUGAUUAACCGUGCUUGUUUGAACAACACACUUGGGAGCUAGUGUGAUGGCUGAUGGGCUCAAAGGAUGGAUGGGAAGAAGAUGCCAUGAGAAGGCUCAUUCUUUUAAUGUCCUAUCAUCUAAUCUUUUGACUAAAACUGAUUUGGCAAAGAGGACCCUUCCCUCUACAGUUUAAAAGCAAGGCUAAAUGUGAUUGGUGAAAUUCCUGGAGGUGCCCCUAGGCACUUUUGAGAGCCUGUAUAAACACAGUCCAGAUCCCAGUCAU
Molecule: long non-coding RNA, 488 nt
Organism: Stylophora pistillata
Lineage: Eukaryota; Metazoa; Cnidaria; Anthozoa; Scleractinia; Pocilloporidae
Source: RefSeq, a predicted model, not a curated record